AUGAUGUUCUAUGACAUGUUUCUCUUUACAUCUGGAGAAACAUCUGGAUGGCAGGAGUUUGUAGAUGCAAAUAAAAUACAAGAAGGUCACUCGAUUAUGUUUGUGUAUUGCGGGAACUCCACCUUCAAGGUUAAUAUAUCCAAUUUAUCCGGCCGUGAGAAUCCUUCAUCCUCCUCUGAACCACGUCCCAAGAUCCUUGGAGCCAUUCCUCCUCCCCGUGCUUCUUGUGAUCAUCAUGUGCCAAUGAAAGAACAAGUGGUGCAUGAUCCCCCUGGACAUGUUGACACCUCAACUGACGUUGGCUAUAAGUUGUCAAGUGGGUGUUGUCUAACCAAAGCAUAG
RNAcentral lists this ribosomal RNA (342 nucleotides) under Triticum aestivum (bread wheat). RNAcentral describes it as "partial small subunit ribosomal RNA". Lineage: Eukaryota; Viridiplantae; Streptophyta; Magnoliopsida; Poales; Poaceae. The record is from RNAcentral.